AUUGAACGCUGGCGGCAUGCUUUGCACAUGCAAGUCGAACGGCAGCGGGGUAGUGCUUGCACUACUGUCCGGCGAGUGGCGAACGGGUGAGUAAUAUAUCGGAACGUACCGAGUAAUGGGGGAUAACCAAUCGAAAGAUUGGCUAAUACCGCAUACGUCCUACGGGAGAAAGCGGGGGAUCGCAAGACCUCGCGUUAUUCGAGCGGCCGAUAACUGAUUAGCUAGUUGGUGGGGUAAAGGCCUACCAAGGCGACGAUCAGUAGCGGGUCUGAGAGGACGAUCCGCCACACUGGGACUGAGACACGGCCCAGACUCCUACGGGAGGCAGCAGUGGGGAAUUUUGGACAAUGGGGGCAACCCUGAUCCAGCCAUGCCGCGUGUAUGAAGAAGGCCUUCGGGUUGUAAAGUACUUUUGUUAGGGAAGAAAAGGGAAGUGCUAAUACCACUUUUUGCUGACGGUACCUAAAGAAUAAGCACCGGCUAACUACGUGCCAUCAGCCGCGGUAAUACGUAGGGGGCUAUCGUUAUCCGGAUUUACUGGGCGUAAAGGGGGGCGUAGUUGGGCUUUUAAGUCGGUGGUUAAAGGCUCGGCUCAACCGUAGUUUAGCCGCCGAAACUGGAAGACUUUGAGUGCAGGAGAGGAAAGUGGAUAUCCCCUGUGUAGCGUUGAAAUGUGUAGAUAUUGUGAAGAACACCAGUUGUCGAAGGUGUUUUCUGGACUGCUGCUGACGCGUGGGACGAAGCGUGUGUGCAUACUGUAUUAAUCCCUGUGUAGUCCAUGGUGCGAAUUCCUCUAUUGGUUUUUAUGCUUACGGUGCUGCUGACCCCCUGUGGGGGUGCCUGUGCUGUGGUGUUGUUCUCUUUGCUUGGGGUUGUUAGGUGACCUUUGUUGUUGUUUAUGUGUUUGUGUUUGGUUUUGUGUGUGUGUUGGUGUUAUGUGUGGUUUUGUUGUGUUGUUGAUUGUUUGCUGUGUGUCUGGUUGCAGUGUUUUAUGUGUAUAAUGUCUGUGUGUGGUUAGUGUGUGUGUGUAGUAUGUGCUGUGUAGUGUAGUGUGUUGUACUAG
This 1063-nucleotide ribosomal RNA is filed under the name uncultured Staphylococcus sp. RNAcentral describes it as "bacterial SSU rRNA". The stretch from base 1 to 841 matches the Rfam family "Bacterial small subunit ribosomal RNA", at positions 28 to 873 of the family's 1533-position model. Lineage: Bacteria; Bacillati; Bacillota; Bacilli; Caryophanales; Staphylococcaceae. The record is from RNAcentral.